CGGAGAGUUUGAUCCUGGCUCAGGACGAACGCUGGCGGCGUGCCUAAUACAUGCAAGUCGAACGGACUCUGGUAUUGAUUGGUGCUUGCAUCAUGAUUUACAUUUGAGUGAGUGGCGAACUGGUGAGUAACACGUGGGAAACCUGCCCAGAAGCGGGGGAUAACACCUGGAAACAGAUGCUAAUACCGCAUAACAACUUGGACCGCAUGGUCCGAGUUUGAAAGAUGGCUUCGGCUAUCACUUUUGGAUGGUCCCGCGGCGUAUUAGCUAGAUGGUGAGGCAACGGCUCACCAUGGCAAUGAUACGUAGCCGACCUGAGAGGGUAAUCGGCCACAUUGGGACUGAGACACGGCCCAAACUCCUACGGGAGGCAGCAGUAGGGAAUCUUCCACAAUGGACGAAAGUCUGAUGGAGCAACGCCGCGUGAGUGAAGAAGGGUUUCGGCUCGUAAAACUCUGUUGUUAAAGAAGAACAUAUCUGAGAGUAACUGUUCAGGUAUUGACGGUAUUUAACCAGAAAGCCACGGCUAACUACGUGCCAGCAGCCGCGGUAAUACGUAGGUGGCAAGCGUUGUCCGGAUUUAUUGGGCGUAAAGCGAGCGCAGGCGGUUUUUUAAGUCUGAUGUGAAAGCCUUCGGCUCAACCGAAGAAGUGCAUCGGAAACUGGGAAACUUGAGUGCAGAAGAGGACAGUGGAACUCCAUGUGUAGCGGUGAAAUGCGUAGAUAUAUGGAAGAACACCAGUGGCGAAGGCGGCUGUCUGGUCUGUAACUGACGCUGAGGCUCGAAAGUAUGGGUAGCAAACAGGAUUAGAUACCCUGGUAGUCCAUACCGUAAACGAUGAAUGCUAAGUGUUGGA
This 857-nucleotide ribosomal RNA is filed under the name uncultured bacterium. RNAcentral describes it as "bacterial SSU rRNA". It matches the Rfam family "Bacterial small subunit ribosomal RNA", at positions 1 to 827 of the family's 1533-position model. The record is from RNAcentral.